UGUAGUAUACUAUGUAUACACUUUUUAAAACCAAGAUUAUAGGAUCUUGCAACUUGAGGUGCCAUAAUGAAAUGUACAAGGCAUUUCUUGAUCAUGGGAAUCUGAUUUUAUUCUGUUAUGCUCACGUACUUGGUUUAACUCGUGUGGUUUUCUUAUUGAGCAUCUGCAAAAUGAUAUAUCAUAUAUGAUUGUUGGACACGGAAUUUCUUAUAACUAAAAUGUGGUCGCAUUUGCAGCAAUGACUGGAUGAUGUCUCUUUUGAGAAUUACAGAGCUAGGCCAAUUGCAAAGCUAUUGGAGAAAGAUCCAUCCUUCCAUUAUGAAACCAAUUGAUAUUGGUUACAGAUUACCGAUAAAAUGAAGCAGAACGACUCAGAAGCAUUCAGAAGGACGAUGUCAUGAACUGGUACAAAAACAAAUUUGCAACAGUCAUCUCCCAAGUGUCGGAGACUGACUUGCAAUUCGUGUUUGGGGAUGCGAAACAGACUUGAAAUAUGCUGAAGCACGGCCGGAGUCUGUACAAGUCAUUGAAGACCUUGCAGCCUUUAAGAUGCCUUUAAAAUGCUCAUUUGUUGAAAAUUUAUAGAUGGUUUCUGAAUUUUUGAUGGAAACUGAGCAUUUUGAGGUCUUAUUGUUU
Molecule: long non-coding RNA, 636 nt
Organism: Rosa rugosa (rugosa rose)
Lineage: Eukaryota; Viridiplantae; Streptophyta; Magnoliopsida; Rosales; Rosaceae
Exons: 2
Source: RefSeq, a predicted model, not a curated record